UGGGGAAUAUUGGACAAUGGGCGAAAGCCUGAUCCAGCCAUGCCGCGUGUGUGAAGAAGGUCUUCGGAUUGUAAAGCACUUUAAGUUGGGAGGAAGGGCAGUAAGCGAAUACCUUGCUGUUUUGACGUUACCGACAGAAUAAGCACCGGCUAACUCCGUGCCAGCAGCCGCGGUAAUACAGAGGGUGCAAGCGUUAAUCGGAAUUACUGGGCGUAAAGCGCGCGUAGGUGGUUCGUUAAGUUGAAUGUGAAAGCCCCGGGCUCAACCUGGGAACUGCAUCCAAAACUGGCGAGCUAGAGUAGGGCAGAGGGUGGUGGAAUUUCCUGUGUAGCGGUGAAAUGCGUAGAUAUAGGAAGGAACACCAGUGGCGAAGGCGACCACCUGGGCUCAUACUGACACUGAGGUGCGAAAGCGUGAGGAGCAAACAGG
This 429-nucleotide ribosomal RNA is filed under the name Pseudomonadota bacterium. RNAcentral's name for it is "Proteobacteria bacterium partial 16S ribosomal RNA". It matches the Rfam family "Bacterial small subunit ribosomal RNA", at positions 355 to 776 of the family's 1533-position model. Lineage: Bacteria; Pseudomonadati; Pseudomonadota. The record is from RNAcentral.